CCUACGGGAGGCAGCAGUGAGGAAUAUUGCUCAAUGGACGCAAGUCUGAACCAGCCAUGCCGCGUGCAGGAAGACGGCUCUAUGAGUUGUAAACUGCUUUUGUACGAGGGUAAACGCAGAUACGCGUAUCUGUCUGAAAGUAUCGUACGAGUAAGGAUCGGCUAACUCCGUGCCAGCAGCCGCGGUAAUACGGAGGAUUCAAGCGUUAUCCGGAUUUAUUGGGUUUAAAGGGUGCGUAGGCGGUCGGAUAAGUUAGAGGUGAAAUCCCGAGGCUCAACUUCGGAAUUGCCUCUGAUACUGGUAGGCUAGAGAGUAGUUGCGGUAGGCGGAAUGUAAGGUGUAGCGGUGAAAUGCUUAGAGAUCAUAAAGAACACCGAUUGCGAAGGCAGCUUACCAAGCUACUUCUGACGUUGAGGCACGAAAGCGUGGGGAGCAAACAGGAUUAGAUACCCGAGUAGUC
Molecule: ribosomal RNA, 460 nt
Filed under: uncultured bacterium
Lineage: Bacteria
Description: partial 16S ribosomal RNA
Rfam family: Bacterial small subunit ribosomal RNA
Source: RNAcentral